This 1656-nucleotide long non-coding RNA is filed under the name Cricetulus griseus (Chinese hamster). RNAcentral's name for it is "lncRNA (ENSCGRG00015035609.1)". Lineage: Eukaryota; Metazoa; Chordata; Mammalia; Rodentia; Cricetidae. The record is from RNAcentral.
AAAUUAUUGCUAUUACAAAAGUAGUAUCCUUUAAAAUGUAUUUAUUGAGUUGGGGAUAACUCUGAUCUUAGGCUUUUUAUUCACAUCCAUUUACUGUAGAGCACUCCAUGCCCUCUGUAGACUUAAACUCUGUGGACUAUAAAUACAGAGCUGUUUAACAAUUUUCUCAAGAGCAACACCACAACAGACCCAUUCAUUGAAAUAUUUCCUCAUCUAGCUCACUAAGGAAGAGCAUAGCAGACACUGCUCAAUUUCCACAACAACCCCAUAAAGGGAUUUGUAUAGAAACUGGAACUUUGGGAAAAAGGGUGAAUUGUAACUUAUCAAAGGUCAGGGAACUGCUAUACGACCAAGGAACAAAAGCAGCAUAAAACCGGAGUCACUAUUCCACUUAAAAUCAAACUGAAGUUUUUUUUUUUUUCUCCAUUUCUGUUUUUCUUUUGUAUAGCUAACCAGCCUAGAACUUAAAAGCUUCUAAGUAGCAAUAUAUUUAUUUCCACAUAUGAGUUUGUAUAUGUGUGUGUGUGUGUGGUGGGGUAUUGAUCAGAUGAAAUUGCUUUGAGCUUCUGGUUCCUUCAAUACUGGUCAGUGCUAAAUUUGCCAGGCUUCUUCAUUAGACUGGGAUACCUAAAGUGGCUGUUUCAAUAUGGCCAGUAGUUAGUGGCUGGCUUUUAUUGACUGUAUUCAUUAGUGGCAUGGCUAACCCAAGCCAUUUAGACAUCCUGUAGAUAGCAUCCUGCUUGAAUCAAAACCUUCUUAUAGAUAUCAAGUGGAAAAAAUCUUAGCAUAAAACAGCAGGAAGCAGGAGACAGGCACAGUUGUGUCUUCACCAAUGGGCAGAGGCACAGGUGUGUAGUCACCCACUGGAGAGAGGCACAGCUGUGUAUUCAACUGCUGGAGAGAGGCAUAGCUGUAUAUUAUGUUGAUAAGGAGAAAGGUUGUUGGCCCAGCCUAAAUUCAAGAGAAAGGGAAAUAUAGCAUUAUAUUUUGGGACAAGUUGUCAAAUUACUAUAGCCAUUUAAACUUACUGUUUCACUAAUGUUGACAAUGUUGAUUUCAAGGAAAAAUUGACUUGAUGUUUAUAUAUUUCCUUCUAGAUCUCUUCACUAUCAUUCUGGAUUUUCAUAAACUUUAAAUUUCACAAACAUUAAAGAUAUGUAACACUGUAAUGAAUAAUAUUUUUACAUUUUAUAUUUAAUGAUAUCCUGAGGUAUUAGAUAAAUAUAUAUGAAAACAUAAUUUUAUUAUCAUGAUCUCUUAUACUAGGAUAUUAUUGAUAUAAAACCUUUUCUUCCCGUAGGUUUCUUCCUUAUAUUUUUUGAAUCCUUUAGCAGUUGAAAUUUCAUUCAAGUUUCACUUAAUGCCCAGGAAAAGGAUAUCUGAUUCACUUUGUUAAUGAGGAGGAAAAUAUUGACCAUACUUUCCUAUUGACCACAAGCUUGUUUAAUUGUACAUUUUCAAAAUGUCAUCUGUAAUGGCUGGAAGUAUGCAUGAGUAAUUAUUCAGUAUAUGUGAAAAUAAUGAGAGUGGGACUUCACUCUAUAUAUUUACAACUUAUUCUUAUUUCAUGAUAGUGCUUUGAAAACAUGGAAAGCAUGAUAAUAUACAAGAGAAUCUUGUGCCAUAAUCAAGUAUGGAUUAUAUCAGGAAAUCAAC